RNA transcript from Raphanus sativus (radish), 1694 nucleotides. RefSeq lists it as uncharacterized. The transcript is spliced from 6 exons. The record is from RefSeq and is a predicted model, not a curated record. NCBI's taxonomy places the organism in Eukaryota, Viridiplantae, Streptophyta, Magnoliopsida, Brassicales, Brassicaceae.
GUGAAAGAUUGUACAAUGUUGUGGUUACCUUCGUACAUUUUCUUUUCAGAGAACUUAUCACAACUUGCUUCGGUUUGGAGACAAUGUACAAUGUUGCUAGCUUCUCGUCAUCAGCACAAUGCAUCCUGCACGUGUCACAGCCUUGUAAAACAAGCAACCGUGUGGGUGCCAGUCACGUGCGUCUUACGUUUGGAACCCUUGUGCUAGUGGGGGGCAACGGCUGCAAAUCCGGCGAUACGUGAAGGGGUUUCGAUCAGAUGUUCCGUCAAUCCAUAGCGUUUACUCCGCCGGUCCAUGGCUCUGAUCCGCCGCCGCCGCCGCCGGCACAGCAGCAAUCUCAGCAGCAGCAGCCGUCGGUUGUGAACGUGAGCGAGAGCUCUAGAAGGCAACAGAUUGCAGCAGCUUCUUCAUCGCCGGUGAAAUCUCAUCCGCUACACAACUUCCCGCUUUCUGAUCUCAGGUGGGCUAUGAAUCACGCCAAUACACAUCGGCUGCGGAAACCAUCCGGCAGAUCUCCGCUCCGCGAAGCUACUAAUCAUGGCAAAGGGAGUCUGGUGACUGAGGAGGUUAACGAAGCAUCUGGCUCUUCAUCUUUUGAAUUGAGACCGGAGAAGCAGAAGAAGAAGAAGGAUGUUGUCAGUGACUACUCCGCCGCAGAUCGAUCCGGGACGAAGUCAACGGCGGCGGACGGUAGAUCGAAGAUCUUUAUCCGGAUCCGCACGAAGAACAACGAAGAAACAGCUGAUACCUCCGCCGCCACCGCCACCGGAGUCUCCGCCGCCACCGUCGUCGCUGAUGUUCACGAGACUGAUGAUUCAGCUGAGCCGGGGAUUGAUGCUGAUGUAUCUAUCGGUGAACGGAUCUCCGAUGGUGGUGGUGGUGGUGGUCAGGAAGGAGACGAGUUUGGUCCGAAGACUUGGAAUCUGAGACCGAGGAAACCGCCGACGAAGAAGCGUUCAAUCGGAGGAAACAGUGGUGGAACGUUAUUGACGGAGAACAAAGCUCAGGGAACGGUUAGAACGGAGGCUAUUCGAUCCAGGAACGGCGUGGAUGCCAAGAUUGCGACGGCGACGGAGAGGAAGGAGAAGAAACCGAGGUUAUCGAUCUCGCUAUCAAAGAUGGAGAUAGAUGAGGAUAUCUACUCGUUGACCGGAUCAAAACCUAGCAGAAGACCAAAGAAGAGAGCCAAAAACGUGCAGAAGCAGCUCGAUGUUCUGUUUCCAGGUUUGUGGAUGGGUAACGUUUCUUCAGACGCUUACAAGGUCUCAGAACAUGCUUAAAAGAGGAUUGAUGUGAAGUUAGUCUUGUUUUGAUUGGCUUCGACUGAAACCAGAUAGGGGAGUUGAUUAAGCUUAUUUUUCCACGGAUUAAGAAUUGCAAUUGUCGCUUCUUCAAAGCCUUAGCUUCAUUUUUUCGGGGCGUGCUCGAAAUAUUGCCUCGAGGUUUGAAAGCACUGAAAUCAAUCUUUAGCUUCAGAAUUGGGUCCUAACUGGCGGCAGUAUGAAAUAUCUCCGAUCCGGCCACCUUAUUUGCUGCCACUGAUGUGAUGUCAUGAUGAUACGGCCUUAGUUCUUUUUUUCUUUGUUUACACACUUGUUGACCUUUUUGUAAUUAAUUUAGUCGGUAGUACACUCAGUAAUUUUUUUUCAUUGGUUGACCAAUUUUGCGAAAAUAAAAUGAGAAUAAUCUACAUA